RNAcentral lists this unclassified non-coding RNA (329 nucleotides) under soil metagenome. RNAcentral describes it as "partial contains 5.8S ribosomal RNA, internal transcribed spacer 2, and large subunit ribosomal RNA". The stretch from base 2 to 119 matches the Rfam family "5.8S ribosomal RNA", at positions 37 to 154 of the family's 154-position model. The record is from RNAcentral.
GUGAAGAACGUAGCGAAAUGCGAUAAGUAGUGUGAAUUGCAGAAUUCAGUGAAUCAUCGAAUCUUUGAACGCACAUUGCGCCCCUUGGUAUUCCAUGGGGCAUGCCUGUUCGAGCGUCAUUUGUACCCUCAAGCUUUGCUUGGUGUUGGGCGUCUUGUCGUAUUACGACUCGCCUUAAAUACAUUGGCAGCCGGCACUUUGGCCUAGGAGCGCAGCACAUUUUGCGAUCGUAGCCCGUUGUACUGGCGUCCAUCAAGAACAUUUACCACGUUUGACCUCGGAUCAGGUAGGGAUACCCGCUGAACUUAAGCAUAUCAAUAAGCGGAGGA